Non-coding RNA from Rattus norvegicus (Norway rat), 2298 nucleotides. Lineage: Eukaryota; Metazoa; Chordata; Mammalia; Rodentia; Muridae. The record is from RefSeq and is a predicted model, not a curated record.
AAAAGAUGCUCAAAUGCUGACGGAAAACUGCGGGUGUUGCCGAGAGGAGAACGAACGGCACUGUCAGAAUGUGUAUAGAGAUCUUCUAAGGAGUUCUUUAGGGAACCCCAGGGAAGAAUCUUCCACUUGUCUGCCUCAGCAGACGUAAACACAGCUCCUGGCAUCUAGGGAGGAGGAAACUUCAUCUGGAGUGUUAACCUUCUGAACUGGACUUCGUUCUCAGGCUGGAGCAAUGGUGCAGUGUUGACACAUGCUGCUCUUCUAGAAGACCAAGGUUAGAUUCCCAGCACCCACGUGGCAGCUCACAACCAUCUGUAGCUCCUGUUCCAGGGGAUCCAGUGUCCUCCACAGUUGACAGAUUUCCAUGGACAUUUCCAAGGCCCUUUAGAAGGUACCUUCAGUAUGUGAGAUGAACUUCGUAUUUCAAAACCUGGACAGAAAUAAAUAUUUUGAAAUCCAUUACACACUAAAGUGGGGUUUUCCGGUAUAUUUCUUAAAAUGGAAGAAUUAGAUAUGUAUUAUGCCAUGCCCCUCCUGAAGCAUACUGACAUAGGUCACUUCUGAGGGAAGAAAUGUCUACCAAAUCAGUUGUUUGCAUUUCAUUGGAUCAGGACAUGAGGUGAAGGUUCCAUCUCAAAGAUCAGACUUGGCAUUCUACAAUCAGGAGCUCCCAGAUGUGUCAGCAAUGGAGCUUAAAAGCAAACAGGUAAUCGUUCCUCUUCAACAUUAGAAGGGUUCCCACAGAGCACCAUAGUCUUGGUAAAGAUUUACAUGCAACCCUAGAUGCUUGGGAUUCGUGGGAGAAUUCUCCACAGAUAGAGGAAGGCUGCCGAGAAGGCACACUCACCAAGGACAUAACCUGAAAAUUAUGCACAGCCAGCGGUGGGCUGACUUACCAAUGGACUGUCAACAUCAGGCUGAGAGGGAAGAUGAGGAGCCCACACCACUGGUUAAAACCCCUUCCUCAGAAAACUAGGGGAUAUAAGGAUCAAAGUUCUGUGUCCUUAAGAGAGGGGCAGGCAUUGAAUCCAAACAAAACAUUGUUCUCAGUGUUAUACAAUGGGCAGCUGUAAUACUCCCUACAAACGUAUUUUUCCAAGAUUUCCUGUGUGAGCUGACAAGAGCAGAGCCUAGAGGCCAAUGGCUAAGCUCUCUGUGACUGCUGUGGGGGGCUGAGGACACCUCAAAACCAGUACUCCACGGAGAAGGGAGACACUGUCACAACUCUGGUUCUUUUAAAGGUGGAAGAACAAUUCCUUUUUUGCUACCAACUAUAUCGAAGCUGCUCUGUCCUCUAUGGUUUUGUUCACAGUCAAAUCCUUUUUGGUUCAGAGUCAAAGGCCUAAAACAAAAAAAAAUCCCAUCUUCUGUGCUUUGAGAAGCCAGUUGUUCUGUCUUACAUUAGAAAUCUAGGGGCUUAAACCUCUGGAGAGCCUCUGCCUGGACACUUCAGAGUCCAAUUUCCAAUCAAGCCCACUGGACUUCACACUGUCUCACUCUAGUGUUUACAGCUGUGACUUUAAUGAAUUGCAGCUAGAGACGCUCAUAUGCUACAAGUUCCUGUGCUAAUGUGGUGCUUCUCCCUCUCAAAGACAGCCCAGGAAGACACUCCCUCUCUCCCCAGUGCCACAGGCUUCAGACUGAAGGAAACAGCCCGUCUUGCAAAAGAUGUCUCAGUUCGAAAAGGUGGACCACAGCGGGCAUGUACACAAACCGGUGCCAUAUGUGCACGAGACUGCCUUAUUUAUGCCUGGACCAGCUGUUCCCAUCACCCACAUUAUAUUCACAAUCAAUCAUAGUUUAGCUCUUAUUUCCUGAUGCGAUGCCAAUUUAAUAAAGAAAACCUGUGCUUCCCUUUCUUCUGCAUGACCAUGAAAGCUCUCACAACCAGAUAAGCUGUCUCCUCUCACAGAGAUUCCCCUCGGAAUUAAUUACUUUGCAAUCAAAGUAUUCCUGGGCUCAUCGUCCCUUUUAAAAUCAUCGUUGGCACUUCUUCCUAGCAGAUUAUCCCCCAUAAUGGAAUCAGAUUUUUUACUAUGAUGUCACGGAGACAACCAAAGCAAUAAAAUCACAUGGUAUGCCCAUUACAAGCUAACCUGGACGAUUGCUCCAUGCUGGUUUUCAAAUGGCACUGUUACCUAAUAUUAUAACUGUGUAACAAUAUCCUGCUGAGGAUUGAGUCUGAGAUUGAAAUAUGGACACAUGGGAUCAUGAAAUUCUGCCUUGAUUGGAACAUACGGCACCCAUGUUAGACAGAGGAGUCAUAAUUACUCAUUAAAAAAGUUAAUGCUGCAUAAA